RNAcentral lists this ribosomal RNA (159 nucleotides) under Plagiostachys parva. Its description in RNAcentral is "5.8S ribosomal RNA". It matches the Rfam family "5.8S ribosomal RNA". Rfam says of the family: 5.8S ribosomal RNA (5.8S rRNA) is a component of the large subunit of the eukaryotic ribosome. The record is from RNAcentral. Lineage: Eukaryota; Viridiplantae; Streptophyta; Magnoliopsida; Zingiberales; Zingiberaceae. RNAcentral also lists the same sequence under 1 other name.
CAAAUGACUCUCGGCAAUGGAUAUCUCGGCUCUUGCAUCGAUGAAGAACGUAGUGAAAUGCGAUACUUGGUGUGAAUUGCAGAAUCUCGUGAACCAUUGAGUCUUUGAACGCAAGUUGUGCCCGAGGCCUUCGGGCCAAGGGCACGCCUGCUUGGGCGU